GGCAGAGCAGGGGCGCGUUGGGGGGGCGCUGUGCCCUGGGCAGAGCUAGUGAGAGGCGGCGGGUGUCAGGGCGGGGGCCUGGCGGGGAUUGAUCAGACCCUUCCUCAGCCGGGGAGGGGGUGUCAGAGGCGGGGCUGGGGGCACGGCAGGGGUCUGCUUGGAGCUAACGCACAGGCCCCUUCAUCCUGGGGAACAGCAGGCCACUAGCAUGUAGAAGGGCAGCCACCCCCAUGGGUUAGGUGAAUGCUCCUUUCCACAGAGAGGGCAGCCGCCCCGCGGGACCAGCGGACAAGCUGCAGCGAGCUGCUUUUUCUUUCACUCGAAAGUUAUAAAUCCCACCUCCUUAGCAGCUGCCCUUAGUGACGGAGGAUGCAGGGUCGCUCCACGCCCUCCAUCCUCCACUUACAGUCCUUUGGCCCUAGGACAGAUGGGCACAGCCUAUCAUCCUGUAGUCAGAAGCAAAGGUUGCUAAAGAUGGGCUACUGCAUUACUGUUGAUUACAGGCAUUUAGCCCCAUCUUCUGCACUGCCACUAGUCCCAGCUGGAGACGGGCACUGAAUGGAGCAGACUGUUGGGGUGAAGCUAUACAGCAGCUCCUUGGGGGGAGCUAGGCGCAGAGUCACAAACGGAGCGAGGCGCCUAACUCCUGUGGGUUUGGAUUGGAGCUGGGAAUCUGACUCCAUUUGUUCACCUGGCCCUUUGAGAGCAGCAUCUUUGGUCCGGUAGUUAGGGAUGUAUCAGGCCCCAUAGCACAAAGUUAGCCUCAGGCUGUUGGGUUUCAUUCCUGGGCUGUGGUACUGCACCCCGGGGCAUCAGUGAAGCAGUGCAGAGGAAGAACCCUCCACGGGGCCCAGGACCCUUCUGCGAGCUGUCUGCAAGCCCCAGCUUCUGCUCCUUGAGCACCUUCUAGCAGCAUCUCCCCCAGGGAAGAAGGGGCCCCACCCAGCAUGGUUCAGUUCUCUUCCUGCUGCAACACGGCUGCCCAAACAGGAGGGAGGAAGAGCCCCGGGGAAAGUCCUGUACAGCAUUUGGCCCACAUUCACAAAGGGAGACAGCGGGGGGCUGCUGGUUUGCCAAGAUGAACUCACCUGACGCCUAGAGGGUAUCGUGAGCUGGAGCACGGGGUGUGCUGAACCCAACUACUCUGGGGUUUACACCAAGGUGGCUGAAUUCCUGGACUGGAUUUAUCAGAUCAUCGAGGUGAGCGGACGGCAAAGGGCCCCUUGCAGCUGAAUUCUCCCCCACUGAGGUAAAGAGUUUAAUCCGAGCCUUGUUCCAGAACACAGAGAGGAGAGCAGCGGCCCUUGCGAAAAUAAAAUAGCCUUGUGUUUACUCCUGUGCAAUAGACCUUUUCCUGGGAAAGAAACAGUAAAUCAGGUUUCAAACUCUUAUUUGGAUUUAACCCUUUUUCCUAAUCAGUUUAGCUUCAUGAAAGCACUUCCUAAAGGCCUGGCCAAUGGG
Long non-coding RNA from Mauremys mutica (yellowpond turtle), 1461 nucleotides. RefSeq lists it as uncharacterized. The transcript is spliced from 3 exons. Lineage: Eukaryota; Metazoa; Chordata; Testudines; Geoemydidae. The record is from RefSeq and is a predicted model, not a curated record.